Long non-coding RNA from Oncorhynchus keta (chum salmon), 387 nucleotides. RefSeq lists it as uncharacterized. Lineage: Eukaryota; Metazoa; Chordata; Actinopteri; Salmoniformes; Salmonidae. The transcript is spliced from 3 exons. The record is from RefSeq and is a predicted model, not a curated record.
GCAGGACAGAAUGGAGUCCACCUUGAUCUGUGUGUUACUCUUGCUGAAUACACACAUCAACUCUGGACACUCUGAAGAUGAUGAUGGAGUGGCGAAGGCUGUUCUGACCAUACACCCCAACAGCUCCCAGAUAUUCAGUGGAGAAUCUGUCACUCUCAGAUGUGUCAUACAGGGGGAGGAGUCACUGACAGUGAGUACAGAUGGUUAACACCCAUUUCAGAUCAAUGUCCACAGAAAGAACAUGAAUGUAUUAUCAGUUCAGCUGAGUUUUCCCACAGUGGUGACGACAGAUGUCUGGGGUCACAUCAACAGCAGGAUUCUAAACGGAGUGAUGUAGUAAGACUGACAGUGACACGUACGUCAUCUUAUCUCUCAAUCACAUCUGUG